This is a long non-coding RNA of Callithrix jacchus (white-tufted-ear marmoset), 2037 nucleotides long. The record is from Ensembl. Lineage: Eukaryota; Metazoa; Chordata; Mammalia; Primates; Cebidae.
UGAUGUCUAAACCCUCAGUACCACAGAAUGUGAUCUUAAUUGGAAAUAUAGUCAUUGCAGAUGUAAUUAGUGAAGUUAAGAUAAGGUCAUACUGCAGUAAAGUUUGAGUUUAAUCCAAUUUGACUGAUGUCCUUACAGGAAGAAGGUGUGAUGACAUAGAUUCCCGGGGACAAUGCCAAGUGAUGACAGACACAGACACUGGAGUGAUACAGUACAAGCCCAGGAACACUAAGGAUCCAUGACCACCAUCAGAAGCCACAAAGAUGCAAGGAAGGAUUCUCCCCUACAUGUUUCAGCGGAAGCAUGUUUCUGUGGCCACAUUCAUUUCAGAGUUCUAGCUUCCACAAGUAGCUGCACAAGAGCUGGAAGCAGAGACAAUGGCCCAUUUCUCCUGGAGUUACAUGACUGUGCUCUACGAAAACAUGCUGUGCAGGAUGUGGGAUUUCUGCACAUGGAAAAAGUAUACGUAGAGGAAAAAAUUAGCCUUUCAUGUACUCCAGUGCUUCAGAUGCUGAAAUAAUUUAUUUUUAAAGAGAAUUUAUAAAAUAAUACAACAUUAAAAAUGAAGAUAAAUUUAUUGAGUUAUUCUUUAUCACAUUAUUGCUCAUGGGAACUUGGUUUAGGUCAUGGCCAUACAAAAUAUCAGAGUUUAUUCAUUGCUCUCAGGAAAAAAAUGUAGAAGUCAAGCUUGUUCAUGUCACUAAGUGAUAGAAAUUAUCCUGUUUGAUCCCAGUCUUUUGUCACACUUAAAAGAGAUAAAGAACUUCUAUAAAUUCCUGAAAUAAAACAAAUUGCUCAAAAAGCUUAAAAUUAAAAAGAACUUAACAGAAACUUAAACAUUUUCAAAAUGUUAAUAGAAGGAUCUCUGGGAAGAUGACGGAGUAGGAAUCAUCAGGAAUCUUUCUCCUUACCUAAACAAAACAUGGCAGUGUCAAAAUCUGUCUAAUAUAACUAUUUUUGAGUUCUAGAGUCAAUUGAAGGCUUGCAACAUCCCAGGGAAGACUUGGAUGGUAAUUUAUAAUUAAUUUUGGUUAAUUGCAAAGUUUAGCACAGUAUCAUCUAUCCAUCCCCCAUCCCUACCUAGUCCCAUAGCAGCCAGCUGUGCACAUGUUUCUGAUGCGGCCUGUACACAAUUUGCAGGAGCCAGGGUGUGCAAAAAGGACCGUGCUCUUUACUAUAUGGAAACUGUGCUCUGGUCACUAAUUUCAGCUGUUGGCCACAGGGAUGCCAAACAAAAGAUGUGGGCAGACACUGUUCUUGAAGUAAUACACAUUAUUGAAAACCUAUUAUCUUCCAACUAAAGUGAAUUCCAGGUGAUUUAAAAGACCUUCAUUCUUUGUCCCCUUCAUUUUUACCUUUUCCCUUUUGGGAAGAUAAAGACUAAGACAUUCAAAAGCAACUGUAUAUAUGAGGAAAACUAGAAAAUGACUGUGCAUGCCCAGGAAAAGGUUUAGAAUCAGAAAAGACCUGAGAAAACUUUAGAUUUGCACCUUAGGCUGAUCCUUGACACAGAGACAGUCCACAGCAAUCACACCCCACAAAAACAGUAGAGAAAAAAAAAAAAAAACACUAAUAAAUCCUGGAGAAAUAAGGGAAAUCUGACUUCCAGGGUUACCACAUUAAAUCUAAUAAAGAUUCAAGUAAUUUACCCUACAAGAAAGAUUCAAAUAAUUCAAUAGUAAUAAAGGAUUUAGUAAUAAUAAUGUAAUAAAGAUUCACAUGUUUGUUGAGAUAAGGCAGAACAACACUGUAGAAUAGAAGAUUGUAUAUCUAGAAGACCCCAUCGUCUCAGCCCAAAAUCUCCUGAAACUAAUAAGCAACUUCAGCAAAGUCUCAGGAUACAAAAUCAAUGUACAGAAAUCACAAGCAUUCGUCUACACCAAUAACAGACUUAAACAGAGCCAAAUCAAGAACUAACUGCCAUUCACAAUUGCUACAAAGAGAAUAAAAUACCUAGGAAUACAACUAACAAGGAACGUAAGGGACCUCUUCAAGGAGAACUACAAACCACUGCUCAACCAAAUAAGAGAGGACACA